GACGAACGCUGGCGGCGUGCUUAACACAUGCAAGUCGAACGGAAAGGCCCUGCUUUUGUGGGGUGCUCGAGUGGCGAACGGGUGAGUAACACGUGAGUAACCUGCCCUUGACUUUGGGAUAACUUCAGGAAACUGGGGCUAAUACCGGAUAGGAGCUCCUGCUGCAUGGUGGGGGUUGGAAAGUUUCGGCGGUUGGGGAUGGACUCGCGGCUUAUCAGCUUGUUGGUGGGGUAGUGGCUUACCAAGGCUUUGACGGGUAGCCGGCCUGAGAGGGUGACCGGCCACAUUGGGACUGAGAUACGGCCCAGACUCCUAUGGGAGGCAGCAGUGGGGAAUAUUGCACAAUGGGCGGAAGCCUGAUGCAGCAACGCCGCGUGCGGGAUGACGGCCUUCGGGUUGUAAACCGCUUUCGCCUGUGACGAAGCGUGAGUGACGGUAAUGGGUAAAGAAGCACCGGCUAGCUACGUG
RNAcentral lists this ribosomal RNA (468 nucleotides) under uncultured bacterium. RNAcentral's name for it is "partial 16S ribosomal RNA". It matches the Rfam family "Bacterial small subunit ribosomal RNA", at positions 28 to 507 of the family's 1533-position model. The record is from RNAcentral.